Molecule: ribosomal RNA, 301 nt
Filed under: uncultured bacterium
Lineage: Bacteria
Description: partial 16S ribosomal RNA
Rfam family: Bacterial small subunit ribosomal RNA
Source: RNAcentral
CAGUCGCCGCGGUAAUACGUAGGGUGCAAGCGUUAAUCGGAAUUACUGGGCGUAAAGCGUGCGCAGGCGGUUUGUUAAGACAGAUGUGAAAUCCCCGGGCUCAACCUGGGAACUGCAUUUGUGACUGGCAAGCUAGAGUAUGGCAGAGGGGGGUGGAAUUCCGCGUGUAGCAGUGAAAUGCGUAGAUAUGCGGAGGAACACCGAUGGCGAAGGCAGCCCCCUGGGCCAAUACUGACGCUCAUGCACGAAAGCGUGGGGAGCAAACAGGAUUAGAUACCCGCGUAGUCCCUGUCUCUUAUAC